Molecule: long non-coding RNA, 1226 nt
Filed under: Vigna radiata
Lineage: Eukaryota; Viridiplantae; Streptophyta; Magnoliopsida; Fabales; Fabaceae
Description: long non-coding RNA (VRAD_LNC011147)
Source: RNAcentral
GAUAAGCUGUCGUUGAAGCUAUCAAAUCAAUACUACUUUUCAAGGCAACUUCAGUAUUGCCUAGUAGUAUUCAAGAAAGUAGAUAGGGCUAAAGUAACCUUAAGUCGUCUCCCAACGAACACGGAAUUGCUUUCGAAUAUCUGAAACUUAUGUAUGCUAUGCAAUGCUUAAGAACAAAAAUGAGGAUGUUUAAAGGUUGUUGUAAAACAAAUAGAAAACUUAAAAACAAUUAUGAAGAAACAGGCUAAUUCCACUGCUUUUCCAAAAUAGAUUCAUCAUCGGUUAUUCACAAAUCAUUGUUCAAUUGAUUAUUGUUUAAGUUUCAAAUUAAUUAAAGUACAUUCUUAAUUAAUUUGAUGGCGAUCAUGCAGUUAAUCAAAGUACAUUCUCAAUCAAAUGCAAGACCUUUCUAGAUUAUUCACAAUAAAUUCAACCAAAGUACAUUCUCAAUCAAGUUUAUUGUGUUUAAUCAUGUCUAUUCUUAAAUCUCUUAACCAAAUUAAAAGUUAAUCAAUAAAAGUAAAUUCUCAAUUGAUUUUAGUUGAAAUUAUUACUACCAACCAAAGUACAUUCUCAACUGAUAGUAAAAACCAUUUAAUCAUAUGAAAGUUCCUAAAUUAAAUCAAAGUAGAUUCUCAAUUAAACCNAGAAACCCUAGAACUCAUAUAAUUAAUAUGCAUGUAGAUUCAAACACAUAAUGAUGCAAAAAUCUUUGCUUUUAAUAUGAUAGAGAGAUGAAAGACAUAGAAAGAGAAUAACUUAAAUCAAUAAUCAAAAUAAACAAUUGCAUUAAUUCACUUAACCCCAGAAUCCAUAAUGAAAUUACAGCAGAAUAGCCCUAGGAGCUUAGAAACACAUAAUGAAAGAAGAGUGAAAGCAGUGGUGGAUGAAUGGAUGAAUGAAUGGUGUCCUUUGUGUCUCCCCUAGGUCUCUUUAUAUAGGCUUGAUUGGGCUUAGACUCUGAAAAUUCAGUUGAUAGAAUCUUUUAUCUUAUAUCUUCCAAAUAACUAAAAGAUUUAGAUAAUUAUAACAUNAUUUGGAAGAUAUUUUCUGUUGAUAUUUCCCAAUUAAAUUAAUUCAACAACUGAAUUUUAUCUUUUAUCUUUUCUGAAUUUUCCAAAAUUACAUAAUAACCCUGAAAUUUCCUUUAUCUGCACUUCANCCCCUAAGAAUUCUUCAGAAUUACAAAAGAGCCACUUAGUUGACCAGACUUUGACCAGAGAAGG